RNAcentral lists this ribosomal RNA (558 nucleotides) under uncultured bacterium. RNAcentral's name for it is "partial 16S ribosomal RNA". It matches the Rfam family "Bacterial small subunit ribosomal RNA", at positions 355 to 906 of the family's 1533-position model. The record is from RNAcentral.
UGGGGAAUUUUGGACAAUGGGGGAAACCCUGAUCCAGCCAUCCCGCGUGUGCGAUGAAGGCCUUCGGGUUGUAAAGCACUUUUGGCAGGAAAGAAACGUCGCGGGUUAAUACCCCGCGAAACUGACGGUACCUGCAGAAUAAGCACCGGCUAACUNCGUGCCAGCAGCCGCGGUAAUACGUAGGGUGCAAGCGUUAAUCGGAAUUACUGGGCGUAAAGCGUGCGCAGGCGGUUCGGAAAGAAAGAUGUGAAAUCCCAGAGCUUAACUUUGGAACUGCAUUUUUAACUACCGGGCUAGAGUGUGUCAGAGGGAGGUGGAAUUCCGCGUGUAGCAGUGAAAUGCGUAGAUAUGCGGAGGAACACCGAUGGCGAAGGCAGCCUCCUGGGAUAACACUGACGCUCAUGCACGAAAGCGUGGGGAGCAAACAGGAUUAGAUACCCUGGUAGUCCACGCCCUAAACGAUGUCAACUAGCUGUUGGGGCCUUCGGGCCUUGGUAGCGCAGCUAACGCGUGAAGUUGACCGCCUGGGGAGUACGGUCGCAAGAUUAAAACUCAAAU